This 301-nucleotide ribosomal RNA is filed under the name uncultured bacterium. Its description in RNAcentral is "partial 16S ribosomal RNA". It matches the Rfam family "Bacterial small subunit ribosomal RNA", at positions 509 to 807 of the family's 1533-position model. The record is from RNAcentral.
CAGUAGCCACGGUAAUACGGAGGGUGCAAGCGUUAAUCGGAAUUACUGGGCGUAAAGCGUGCGUAGGCGGUGAGUUAAGUCUGCUGUGAAAUCCCCGGGCUCAACCUGGGAAUGGCAGUGGAUACUGGCUCGCUAGAGUGUGUCAGAGGAUGGUGGAAUUCCCGGUGUAGCGGUGAAAUGCGUAGAGAUCGGGAGGAACAUCAGUGGCGAAGGCGGCCAUCUGGGACAACACUGACGCUGAGGCACGAAAGCGUGGGGAGCAAACAGGAUUAGAUACCCCCGUAGUCCCUGUCUCUUAUAC